GAAGGCCGGUGACGUCGAACGCUGGAGCCUGUCUGCUGCAGGGGGAGGUGAAGCAGCAGAGGGCGCCGUUGUCACACUAGCCGUGUUACACAGUCAGGUAAUUUGUAUUCAUUAUUUACGUGUCUAAUUAUUUGUUCAGGCAAGAAACAAAUGUGGUUUAACCUGAAAUUCUUUACAGUAAACGCAAGCUCUCAGGUAAAAAUAAUCUGUAUUUACGAGCGAAGGGGGAAACCCAUAAUCUAGACUGUAGCUAGCUACACUAGAGGUACAGUACACUAUUCGCAGUUAGCCAAUUUUGGUAUUUCAUAGGAUUUGAGUGCAAAGUAUUUUAAUUUUGAAUGGCACGUUUUACCAGUUGACAGUUAUGUGAUAGAAGAAUGUGAUGGAAUUAUAUUUUUCAGUGGUUUAUGAAUUUAUUUUAUUCAGGAGAAUAUUGAAGAAAAUUGGAAUGGAGGAGCGGUGGGCAGGCUACUCCUUGAAGGGCAGGAUGUAGAAUGCUGUCGCACGUGCUGCCCUGAAAGCUUACCCAAAGCCCACCUACCUAGAGGUAGAUGAAAAGAUUGCAGAAACCCUCAAGCAUGCACCUGCUCGGCUGAAGAGUAAGAGAAAGGAGCAGAUGGAGCAAGAUGUUGAGGAGGGCACAGAUGAAGAACCAGCACCUGAAUAAAUAAGACUUCUUACCAACUUUAGUGUUGUUUAAAUAAAUUGCUCAAGCAGUACCAACAAGUUCAAUGAUUCAAGUCUUUAUUCACUGAGGUCAGGGGAGGUUCCAACACAUUGUAUACCAAACCAUACAUGCAGAGUCCAAAUCAGUAGCAAUAGUUUAACAUCCUUUCUCAUACAAUUUCAUACAAUUUGUUAUAACAUGAUUAGUUAAAAAUAUUUUGUAUACUCCGAAGAUAAGGAAUAGAAUUUCCAUCAUCACAGUA
Long non-coding RNA from Esox lucius (northern pike), 929 nucleotides. RefSeq lists it as uncharacterized. The record is from RefSeq and is a predicted model, not a curated record. The transcript is spliced from 3 exons. Lineage: Eukaryota; Metazoa; Chordata; Actinopteri; Esociformes; Esocidae.